AUGUAAGUUUUUGCGUGAAUUUUUAUUUAUUUWAAUAAUUAAUAAAUUUUAUAAUAUAUUCAGUAAUUAAAUUUAUUAAUCAAAGAAAUUUGUAAAUAGUAAUUUUAUUAAGUAUUGGCUAAUUUUGUGCCAGCAGCCGCGGUUACACAAAUAAUACAAAUAAAAAUUUUUAGUAAAAGUUAAAUUAUAUUUUAAUAAAAUAAAAAUAAAUUUAUUAGGUGAAAUUUUAAAUUUAUAAAUUUUUUUUUUAAAAAUAUUGAAUCUUGUAAAUUUUUGUAAUAAACUAGGAUUAGAUACCCUAUUAUUGAAAAUGUAAAUAAAAAUGCUAAAGUAGUAAUAGUUAUGUUCUUGAAACUUAAAAAAUUUGGCGGUAUUUUAGUCUAUUCAGAGGAACCUGUCCUAUAAUUGAUAAUCCACGAUGAACCUUACUUAAUCUUGUUUUUCAGUUUAUAUACCGUCGUUAUUAGAAUAUUUUAUAAGAAAAAUAAUUUUCUAAAAUUUUAAUAAAAAUUUAUAUCAGAUCAAGGUGUAGCUUAUGUUUAAGAAGAGAUGGGUUACAAUAAAUAAAUUUAGAUGGAUUUAAAUUUGAAAAAUUUUAAUAAAAGUGGAUUUGAUUGUAAAAUUAUAAAGAUUAAUAAUUUGAAUUUAGCUCUAAAAUAUGCACAUAUCGCCCGUCGCUCUUAUUAUUAAGGUAAGAUAAGUCGUAACAUAGUAGAUGUA
This 720-nucleotide ribosomal RNA is filed under the name Blepharoneura femoralis. RNAcentral's name for it is "partial 12S ribosomal RNA". Lineage: Eukaryota; Metazoa; Arthropoda; Insecta; Diptera; Tephritidae. The record is from RNAcentral.